GAUGAACGCUGGCGGCGUGCCUAAUACAUGCAAGUCGAACGAGUUCUGAUUAUUGAAAGGUGCUUGCAUCUUGAUUUAAUUUUGAACGAGUGGCGGACGGGUGAGUAACACGUGGGUAACCUGCCCUUAAGUGGGGGAUAACAUUUGGAAACAGAUGCUAAUACCGCAUAAAUCCAAAAACCGCAUGGUUCUUGGCUGAAAGAUGGCGUAAGCUAUCGCUUUUGGAUGGACCCGCGGCGUAUUAGCUAGUUGGUGAGGUAACGGCUCACCAAGGCAAUGAUACGUAGCCGAACUGAGAGGUUGAUCGGCCACAUUGGGACUGAGACACGGCCCAAACUCCUACGGGAGGCAGCAGUAGGGAAUCUUCCACAAUGGACGCAAGUCUGAUGGAGCAACGCCGCGUGAGUGAAGAAGGCUUUCGGGUCGUAAAACUCUGUUGUUGGAGAAGAAUGGUCGGCAGAGUAACUGUUGUCGGCGUGACGGUAUCCAACCAGAAAGCCACGGCUAACUACGUGCCAGCAGCCGCGGUAAUACGUAGGUGGCAAGCGCUAUCCGGAUUUAUUGGGCGUAAAGCGAGCGCAGGCGGUUUUUUAAGUCUGAUGUGAAAGCCCUCGGCUUAACCGAGGAAGUGCAUCGGAAACUGGGAAACUUGAGUGCAGAAGAGGACAGUGGAACUCCAUGUGUAGCGGUGAAAUGCGUAGAUAUAUGGAAGAACACCAGUGGCGAAGGCGGCUGUCUGGUCUGUAACUGACGCUGAGGCUCGAAAGCAUGGGUAGCGAACAGGAUUAGAUACCCUGGUAGUCCAUGCCGUAAACGAUGAAUGCUAGGUGUUGGAGGGUUUCCGCCCUUCAGUGCCGCAGCUAACGCAUUAAGCAUUCCGCCUGGGGAGUACGACCGCAAGGUUGAAACUCAAAGGAAUUGACGGGGGCCCGCACAAGCGGUGGAGCAUGUGGUUUAAUUCGAAGCAACGCGAAGAACCUUACCAGGUCUUGACAUCUUUUGAUCACCUGAGAGAUCAGGUUUCCCCUUCGGGGGCAAAAUGACAGGUGGUGCAUGGUUGUCGUCAGCUCGUGUCGUGAGAUGUUGGGUUAAGUCCCGCAACGAGCGCAACCCUUAUGACUAGUUGCCAGCAUCUAGUUGGGCACUCUAGUAAGACUGCCGGUGACAAACCGGAGGAAGGUGGGGAUGACGUCAAAUCAUCAUGCCCCUUAUGACCUGGGCUACACACGUGCUACAAUGGAUGGUACAACGAGUUGCGAGACCGCGAGGUCAAGCUAAUCUCUUAAAGCCAUUCUCAGUUCGGACUGUAGGCUGCAACUCGCCUACACGAAGUCGGAAUCGCUAGUAAUCGCGGAUCAGCACGCCGCGGUGAAUACGUUCCCGGGCCUUGUACACACCGCCCGUCACACCAUGAGAGUUUGUAACACCCGAAGCCGGUGGCGUAACCCUUUUAGGGAGCGAGCCGUCUAAGGUGGGACAAAUGAUUAGGGUG
RNAcentral lists this ribosomal RNA (1492 nucleotides) under Lacticaseibacillus rhamnosus. RNAcentral's name for it is "bacterial SSU rRNA". It matches the Rfam family "Bacterial small subunit ribosomal RNA". The record is from RNAcentral. Lineage: Bacteria; Bacillati; Bacillota; Bacilli; Lactobacillales; Lactobacillaceae.